Molecule: long non-coding RNA, 1887 nt
Organism: Zonotrichia leucophrys gambelii
Lineage: Eukaryota; Metazoa; Chordata; Aves; Passeriformes; Passerellidae
Exons: 5
Source: RefSeq, a predicted model, not a curated record
GGCUGCUGCAAGGAUCAGGAACAGUCAGUGCUUAGAGGAGCUGCCUGUGAGAAACAUGGAGGAGCAUUGUACUCAGCCAUAUCACCACAUAUGGACACCUCAUCAAGAGAUUUAUCCUUCAUAAAAUCUGAAUAGACAGGAUGGUUCCUCUCUGAAGAUGCUGCUCUUCUACACUGACUGCAAAGGGAGGGUCAGACUUCUGGCUGGGAAAGCUCACCCAGAACUCAAAAUCACCUUGGGAGGAUCUUGGUCCCCACUAAAGGUCUGUGAAGAUCAUACAAUUGCAAAAAACUGUUGUGUCCUCAUUUACUGAAAGGAAAAUUCUGAGCAAAGAUCCUGUGCUCCUGACCUCAAGAAAAUGGGGCUGGGAGAAGGUGUGAACACUUUGAAGGAAGAAAAAAGCAAAGUAGAUUGAGACAGAAGAAAAGAAAGACAAAGAAGAAGAAGAAAGAAGGAAGAAGACGAAAAAGAACAUGAAGAAGAAGAAAUGUGAAAAAAGAGAUUUUAAAAAAUGAAAGAGGAUGAAAAUUAAGCAUAAACAAACUUUUUAUUUGACUCCAAGGAUGAAUUAAUUCAAUUUAUUCCACCUGAGUGUAGGAGACUUGGAUGGAAUGCCAGUUCCCAAAAAACAUGUCCACAUUUAAUGACUAUUGGGCAAAAUGGGGAUCCACAGUUUUGAAACCACCUAAAAAAUUAUAAAGUUAUUUUUAAAUUUUUUUCAUUAUUUUACUAAAUUAACCUUCCAUUUCCAUGUAUGCAAAUAAUGAGUAGUUCAUGUACACUAUUCAGAAAACACUCAGUAUUUUUUACUAGCAGAAAAAAAGACAUGAGAAUAUGAAUCCUAAGAGUCAGAAAUUACAAGACUGGAAGACAAAAUGAUAAGGCUGAAGAUCCUAAAAAAGGAGAUUAUUUAAAAAUUUUAGUACCUUGAAACUAGUCAGAUGUGUUCAUGUAUAAAUUUUUUUGCCUUUUUUGUCAUAUCCAACAAAUCUAAGAAAAUGAUUACUCACCACAUUUAGAAAUUAUCAUUAACUACACUGGGGACCAAAGAAGGAUGAAUUAUUCAAGAAGAAAAUGUAUAAAUAGAUGCUUGAAGAUAUUGAGUUUUCUCAUGUCUUUCUCUAAAAGUAGCAAUUCUCUUUUAUUUGUACUAUUCUUUCAAAUAAAAAAUUCAGUAGGAAAUGGAAAAAAAUAUACCUCAGAAUAAUCAGGGUAGACAAUAUAAUAGGAAAAAAAAAGAGCUUUAUUCCUUAUUUUUCAGUGUGCUUAAUUAAAUGCCUUCCUGAAGAUUUAAAAGCAUUUUAGCUCAUGUAUAUCUGCAAUUUCACUGCCAACCCAGUUAAAGAACCUCUAACUUAACUCUGGUAAGAACUAUUGCUUUCUUGUAGCCCACUGCCACUGAGGUUGAGUUAAAUAUUCCCUCUAGAACAAAUUAGAGCACAGAACAUGUCAAACCUUCCACUAAAAGGAAACUUCAACAGAAAUUCUGGUUUAUUUGAGGGCUGAGUUGCCAACAGAGCUGCCCUGGUCUUUUCUGUCUGCAGAAAUGAAGCAUUCAGGGAAAUAUUAGGUUCUUCCCUGAACCCCAACAAUAAUUAGCUAAUCAUUAUUGCCCUUGUGACUCCACAUUGAUUAUGAUAAAUGCACAGAACCUAUUUUGACCAGUAAGGAAUUCUAUAGGAAUUGCACCAUUUCAUUUAGUUUGAGUCAAAAUCCUCUUCAAAACCUUGUAAUUUGUGGCUGAAUCCACAACAGGAUCCUUUUGUGGGUACUUGCCCAGCAGAAAGGCAUCAUUUUGCCAAAAGUAGCUCUGCGGUUGAAUAUUUACACACAGAAAUGUUGGUGUAACAUGAUGCUAAACAGCUUCCUUUCUACCCCCAAACAGCA